UACAUAGGGGGCGAGCGUUAUCCGGAAUUAUUGGGUGUAAAGGGUGCGUAGACGGGGGAUUAAGUUAGUUGUGAAAGCCCAUGGCUCAACUGUGGAACAGCAACUAAGACUGAUUUUCUUGAGUACUGGAGAGGAAAGUGGAAUUUCUAGUGUAGCGGUGAAAUGCGUAGAUAUUAGGAGGAACACCAGUGGCGAAGGCGACUUUCUGGACAGAAACUGACGUUGAGGCACGAAAGUGUGGGGAGCAAAC
Molecule: ribosomal RNA, 250 nt
Filed under: uncultured prokaryote
Description: partial 16S ribosomal RNA
Rfam family: Bacterial small subunit ribosomal RNA
Source: RNAcentral